ACGACCUUACUUGAGCAGGAUCUGUUCUAUAGGCUCGUACAACCGUAUCCUUGAUUGCAAAAGAGAUGGGCAACUCAAUCUGGUGGAUGACUCGAGACCUCAUGGCUAGAGCGUGAUUAAUAGUGAGGAUCCUUCGGAGUCCUUGCUUUAGAGGAUCGUUCUCAGGCGAUAUCGAUCGCCUGGGAUGGCCUUGAGGUUGUCUGACAGAGU
Phoenix dactylifera (date palm) is the source of this 210-nucleotide small nucleolar RNA. RefSeq annotates it as small nucleolar RNA U3. The record is from RefSeq and is a predicted model, not a curated record. NCBI's taxonomy places the organism in Eukaryota, Viridiplantae, Streptophyta, Magnoliopsida, Arecales, Arecaceae.